Long non-coding RNA from Mauremys reevesii (Reeves's turtle), 978 nucleotides. RefSeq lists it as uncharacterized. NCBI's taxonomy places the organism in Eukaryota, Metazoa, Chordata, Testudines, Geoemydidae. The transcript has 3 exons. The record is from RefSeq and is a predicted model, not a curated record.
CUCAAGGCUUGUGUUACUGGAUCAUUAACACACACCACCUCAUAUCUAGGUGGUACAGGGCAGCAUACUGUUGAAUUACAAAGGCACAGCUGUGCGGUUUGCAGAUGUGUGCCCUUGCAGGGUAGAGAUAUCACAAAUAGAGUGCAGUUGCUGUGGGGAAAAUCCACACGAACAACAGAAGAAACUGACUACGGCUCUGCAACUGGAUGCACACAGUAUCUCCUGUGAAGUGAAAAAGAUGAUGAAAAACAACAGGAACCUAUAUAUUUUUAUGUGCCUAUUAAUGCCUGAAUGUAUCCUACAAUCAUAAAACUGUCCAGCACUUAGACACGCUACGUGGAAGUAAAUCAAUCUGUUCUAAAAGAUUUGGCAUGAAAACUUCAAAAAGGAUAUUCUCAACUCAGGGAUUUUCUUGUUAUUUUACUGGCACACACAAUAUUUCCUGAGACUGGAGGAAGGAGUGAAUAGCCAAGGAAUACUUGAUGUAAAUGUUAUAUCUUUUCUUUUGAAAUGUGGUAAAUGUGCCCUAAAAAUUCUUGAAAACAUACAAAAUUAUAGUUUUUUUCUAUUUAUAAACUACCAUUUUGCUACUUCCAAAAGAGAGAUUUGGUCCUAUCAUAAUUGGCUCUAAAAAUUACAAAAAUAUUAGAGAAGGGUUGUGACAAAGUGCUAUGGCCUAACAGCAGGGUCAGUACUCUGAUCACAGUAGCCUCAAUUAGUUUCUCCAGCGACGGCUGAUUCAGGAAAUAGGGAGGAAUUAGCUACUCAGAUGGGAAGGCUGGGUGAGAGUUAUGGAACCAACUGCCCCUUAAGCUGACUACCUUGAUAAGAGGCAGGAAGGAAGUGUUGGGGGUAGGGGGGCUACCCAGACCCCGACUGAAGAAGAUACCAAGAAAGAAAGGUCUCUUUUCCUCCUAGGGCCCUGAUGAACAGGGGCUGAAGGUCAUAGGUAUUAAAUAGUUGUAUUGCAUUGUACAG